GGGGGGGACCCGGGCAAUGGAGGCUUGCGAACCUGGUCAGGGCGGGAACGCAGCAGCCAUAAGCAUCGUCUUCAUGUGCCCGGGAGGGCCUCCCCGGC
RNAcentral lists this signal recognition particle RNA (98 nucleotides) under Singulisphaera sp. RNAcentral describes it as "signal recognition particle sRNA small type". It matches the Rfam family "Bacterial small signal recognition particle RNA". From Rfam's summary of the family: The signal recognition particle (SRP) is a universally conserved ribonucleoprotein involved in the co-translational targeting of proteins to membranes. Archaeal SRP consists of a 7S RNA and homologues of the eukaryotic SRP19 and SRP54 proteins. In most bacteria, the SRP consists of a 4.5S RNA and the Ffh protein (a homologue of the eukaryotic SRP54 protein). RNAcentral also lists the same sequence under 1 other name. The record is from RNAcentral. Lineage: Bacteria; Pseudomonadati; Planctomycetota; Planctomycetia; Isosphaerales; Isosphaeraceae.